UGGGUCCGCGUUUCAUUAGCUUGUUGGUAGGGUAAUGGCCUCCAAGGCGAUGAUGGUUAGCUGGUCUGAGAGGAUGAUCAGCCACACUGGAACUGAGACGCGGUCCAGACUCCUACGGGAGGCAGCAGUGAGGAAUAUUGCGCAAUGGGGGAAACCCUGACGCAGCGACGCCGCGUGGGUGAAGAAGGCCUUCGGGUUGUAAAGCUCUGUCAGGUGGGAAGAAAUGUGUGGUGGCUAAUACCUGCCAUGCUUGACGGUACCGCCAGAGGAAGCACCGGCCAACUCCGUGCCAGCAGCCGCGGUAAUACGGGGGGUGCAAGCGUUGUUCGGAAUUAUUGGGCGUAAAGAGCGUGUAGGCGGCUAGGUAAGUCAGAUGUGAAAGCCCUGAGCUCAACUCAGGAAGUGCAUUUGAAACUGUCUGGCUAGAGUAAGGGAGAGGAAAGUGGAAUUCCUGGUGUAGAGGUGAAAUUCCUAGAUAUUAGGAGGAACACCAUCGGCGAAGGUGACUUUCUGGCCUG
Molecule: ribosomal RNA, 518 nt
Filed under: uncultured delta proteobacterium
Lineage: Bacteria; Deltaproteobacteria
Description: bacterial SSU rRNA
Rfam family: Bacterial small subunit ribosomal RNA
Source: RNAcentral